Electrophorus electricus (electric eel) is the source of this 353-nucleotide non-coding RNA. The record is from RefSeq and is a predicted model, not a curated record. NCBI's taxonomy places the organism in Eukaryota, Metazoa, Chordata, Actinopteri, Gymnotiformes, Gymnotidae.
CGGCAGGACAGUGAAUCGGGUAUCUGGAGCUGUUCUCGGUCUGAAAACAUCAGCAUCGCAGCAUCCUUUCAACCGCAUUUCAUGACCACAGACAGCGGGUGAGGAUACCGCGGCUCCACCCCUGGCAACCAAUCGGAUUCGACACAUCCACAUAAGUGAUCUCUGAUUGGAAGAACAGCCUGUCUGUUAUAUUCGCUCUCUAGCUUGUCGUUGCUUCUUUGCUACACCUGUAGGGAUGCUGAAAAGGCAUGCAGACAUGAACAACAAACCAAUUAUCCUACUGAGCACCUCUUCCGGAACGUAGAGGAGGUCCGCUGAGAGGACUGGCGUCGGCCCCCGUCAGCCCCCGUCAC